CUCCCGAUCUAUAACAUCUAUAUCACAAACUUGUUUUAAAUGGUAUGAAUAAUCUACAAGAGUCUCUUAGAUGCCUUACUGACCAGCCCCUUCUAUCCUCAGUUUCUAACCCAGAACCUGGAACACUAGAGAAGGUUUCAGUAAACAGCGCCACUAUUAUAUUACACUCCACUUCCCUGUGGGCAGUUUAUCUGUCCAUCUCAAGGAUCCAGAACACCACUAAGAACUAACAACCAAAACAAAUGUCGG
Non-coding RNA from Vicugna pacos (alpaca), 249 nucleotides. Lineage: Eukaryota; Metazoa; Chordata; Mammalia; Artiodactyla; Camelidae. The record is from RefSeq and is a predicted model, not a curated record.